AGCGAACGCUGGCGGCGUGCCUAACACAUGCAAGUCGAACGUGAAAAGGGAAACCUGAGUAAAGUGGCGUACGGGUGAGUAACGCGUAGGUAAUCUACCCCAGGAUCUGGAAUAACCUGCCGAAAGGCGGGCUAAUACUGGAUAGAGCGAGGGAACUCGUAAGAGAGUUUUUCGGGAAAGGGAGCCCGCAAGGGCCUUCGUUCUGGGAUGAGCCUGCGUCUCAUUAGCUAGUUGGUAAGGUAACGGCUUACCAAGGCGAUGAUGAGUAGCUGGUCUGAGAGGAUGAUCAGCCACACUGGAACUGAAACACGGUCCAGACUCCUACGGGAGGCAGCAGUGGGGAAUCUUGCGCAAUGGACGAAAGUCUGACGCAGCCACGCCGCGUGAGUGAAGAAGGCCUUCGGGUUGUAAAGCUCUGUCGGAUGGGACGAACAUCUUCAUAGUGAAUAGCUAUGAGGACUGACGGUACCACCAAAGGAAGCACCGGCUAACUCCGUG
This 498-nucleotide ribosomal RNA is filed under the name uncultured bacterium. RNAcentral describes it as "partial 16S ribosomal RNA". It matches the Rfam family "Bacterial small subunit ribosomal RNA", at positions 29 to 507 of the family's 1533-position model. The record is from RNAcentral.